GAGCUGCAGGGGUACAGAAAGAGAGAGAAAAGGAUCCGGGGUGAGGAGAGGCGACCCGGAGCGGAGCGCCGACCACGGCUCUCUCCCCACUCUCCGAGAGCGACCCGGCCGAGGCUACGGGCCGUGUCAGCCCCAGCCCGCCACCCGCGCGGGCCCCGGCGUCUCGCGUGCGCCUGGCUCCCCGGGCUACGCCUCCUGCGCCCAGCCGGCCGCGGCCCCCUCCCUCAGACAACCCGACGCCGCUCGCCAAAGUGUUUUGGUGCUGGUGGAGCGAACUCACGCCCCUAGCCAGCCUUCUCAGCGACUCGUGCCAAGAGUACUCGUUCACCAGCACCGCCCCUUUAAGAGAUUUCAACUGCAGACAUUUUUUAACUUUUUAAAGACAGGAUUCAGGAAUCUGAAAAGGGCUGGAAUAUAUGACCUUCAGCUGAGGUUCCCUGAGGAGAUUCUUUCAAACCAAGCAACAAAGAAAUACAGAGGUUAGGUUGGGUUAAACUGGGAAGUGCCAUGAAGACCUCAUAGAAGUAGACCAGGAUAAAAUAAGGCCAAAGGAGAAAGAAAAUCCAAGGCAUAUUAUUUAAAGAUGAUUUUAAAAACCAAGAUGUUACACCGAACUAUUACAUGUAGGCUUCGGCCCUUAAGGCCUACCUGCUUCUUUUGGUUCCUGAAAAUUUCUAACACAACUAAAUCCUUUAAAAUAUGUAUGGUUUUGGGGCGCCUUGGUGGCUCAGUCAGUUGAGUG
Long non-coding RNA from Herpailurus yagouaroundi (jaguarundi), 742 nucleotides. RefSeq lists it as uncharacterized. NCBI's taxonomy places the organism in Eukaryota, Metazoa, Chordata, Mammalia, Carnivora, Felidae. The record is from RefSeq and is a predicted model, not a curated record. The transcript has 3 exons.